This 202-nucleotide ribosomal RNA is filed under the name uncultured Latescibacterota bacterium. Its description in RNAcentral is "uncultured Latescibacteria bacterium partial 16S ribosomal RNA". It matches the Rfam family "Bacterial small subunit ribosomal RNA", at positions 1189 to 1382 of the family's 1533-position model. Lineage: Bacteria; Pseudomonadati; Candidatus Latescibacterota. The record is from RNAcentral.
UCCCUCAUGGCCCGUUACAUCCCGGGCUACACACGUGCGUACAAUGGCAGGUACAGAGGGCUGCGAAGCCGCGAGGUAGGAGCGAAUACCCAGAAAACCUGUCUCAGGUCCGGAUUGAAGUCUACGCAACCUCGACUUCAUGAAGGCGGAAUCGCUAGUAACCGCGAAUCAGCAGGUCGCGGUGAAUACGUUCCCGGGCCUU